UAGCGUACACAUAACGCGAAGCAGGGAAACAAAUCUUCUGGGGGAAGAAGAAGGGAAAUUUCUUGUUCUCUACGUUUUCAGUUUGAGAGCAAACGCGAGAUUGUUUCUCUAAUUUCAGGUCUCGCUCAAUCUCCAUAUGGCCCAAACGCAAGGUUGCUUUCUCAAAUUUCAGGUUGUUGGUUGUGAUAUAUUAAUGAGGGGCGGAAGCUACAGUUACAGUCCUUCGCCACCAAGGUCCUAUAGCAGGGAGAUAUAGAAGCCCUAGCCCUUGUGGACACUAUGGAGGACCUGGUAGAGAUCUGCCCACUAGUCUUCUGGUUCGCAACCUUCGUCGUGACUGCAGGCCUGAAGACCUACGUGGACCAUUCGGUUGAUUUGGUCAUAUUAAAGACAUUGACUUGCCCCGUGACUAUUAUACUGGACUAGAAGAAGUUUGACUUGAAUACAUUGUGAAGAAGUUCAACUCUUGAAGAUUACAGACUCAAUUUUAACUUUGGCUUCCACAAGGUCAGCUGGCAAGGAGCCGCGAGGGUUUGGCUUUGUCCAGUUUGUAUAUCCAGCUGAUGCUGCAGAUGCCAAGCAUUAUCUGGAUGGUGAGAAUUUUCUUGGUCGGGAACUGAUGGUGGUAUUUGUGGAGGAAAACUGGAAGAAACCUUCAGAAAUGCGAGCAAGAGAUCGUAUAAGGUGCAAGUCUGAUCCAGUGAUCUUAGGACUCUCGAUGAUGGGAAUCAAAAGAAUCGGCAUCUUUGGCUGUGGAUGGCAAUUGAGCUGUUUUCCUGACUUGGCUGUAUGGUCCACGAAGAGGAUUACUGUUUAUUUAGAGCAAUCUCAUUUACAUUUUGCUGCAAGUGCCGUUGGUUGGAAGUGAGAUGAAGAUAACUUUGCCUAUAAAGUGCCAUAUAAAGAAAAAGUUACCACUUUGAUAAGGGUAAGACUUCCGGUUAAGCAAUUGAAAUUUUGUCCAUAAUUUCAACCCUUUACUACAAGGAUUUAGGAUUUUAAAUAGGGAUGGCACAACUUUGUUUGGUCUGGAUGACCGAAUUUGUUCAACUCGAAUUAAAUCAAAUUUGAACACAA
This is a long non-coding RNA of Tripterygium wilfordii, 1077 nucleotides long. RefSeq lists it as uncharacterized. The transcript is spliced from 6 exons. NCBI's taxonomy places the organism in Eukaryota, Viridiplantae, Streptophyta, Magnoliopsida, Celastrales, Celastraceae. The record is from RefSeq and is a predicted model, not a curated record.